UACGUAGGGGGCAAGCGUUGUCCGGAUUUAUUGGGCGUAAAGAGCGUGUAGGCGGCUUGGUAGGUCCGCUGUGAAAACUCGAGGCUCAACCUCGAGAUGUCGGCGGAAACCACUUGGCUAGAGUCCGGAAGAGGAGAGUGGAAUUCCCGGUGUAGCGGUGAAAUGCGCAGAUAUCAGGAGGAACACCGGUGGCGAAGGCGGGUCUCUGGGCAACAACUGACGCUGGGGAGCGAAAGCGUGGGGAGCGAACAGG
Molecule: ribosomal RNA, 253 nt
Filed under: uncultured bacterium
Lineage: Bacteria
Description: partial 16S ribosomal RNA
Rfam family: Bacterial small subunit ribosomal RNA
Source: RNAcentral